AUGCCAUUCCCUUUCUUUUCCUUCCCUUUUCUUCCUCGUUUCUCUUUUCCCUUUUUUCCUCCCCCUUUUCCUUCCCUUUUCUCUUCUUUCUCCUGUUUCUCUCUUCCCUUUUAUCCCUUCUCCCCUUUUCAUUCCCUUUUCUCUUCUUCCUCUUGUUUUGCUUUUCCUUUUUUUCCUUUUCUCAUUUUCUUUCUCUUUUCUCUUCUUCCUCUUGUUUCUCUUUUCCCCUUUUUUUCCCUUCCCCUUUUCCUUCCCUUUUCUCUUCUUCCUCUUGUUUCUCUUUUCCCCUUUUUUCCCUUCCCUUUUCCUUCCCUUUUCUCUUCUUCCUCGUUUCGCUUUUCCCUUUUUUCCCUUUCCCCCUUUUCUUUCUCUUUUCUUCCUUUUGUUCCUUUUUUCCCUUUUUCCCUUUUCCCCUUUUCUUUCCCUUUUCUCUUCCUUUUGUUUCUCUUUUCCCCUUUUUUUCCCUUCCCCUUUUCCUUCCCUUUUCUCUUCUUCCUCUUGUUUCUCUUUUCUCUUCUUCCUUUUGUUUCUAUUUUCCCUUUUUUUCCCUUUCACUUUUCCUUCCCUUUUCUCUUCUUCCUCUUGUUUCUCUUUUCCCUUUUUUCCCUUCCCUUUUUCUUUCUCUUUUCUCUUCCUCCUCUUGUUUCUCUUUUCCCCUUUUUUUCCCUUCCCCUUUUCCUUCCCUUUUCUCUUCUUCUUCUUGUUUCUCUUUUCCCCUUUUUUUCCCUUCCCCUUUUCCUUCCCUUUUCUCUUCUUCCUCUUGUUUCUCUUUUCUCUUCUUCCUUUUGUUUCUAUUUUCCCUUUUUUUUCCCUUUCACUUUUCCUUCCCUUUUCUCUUCUUCCUCGUUUCGCUUUUCCCUUUUUUCCCUUUCCCCCUUUUCUUUCUCUUUUCUUCCUUUUGUUCCUUUUUUCCCUUUUUCCCUUUUCCCCUUUUCUUUCCCUUUUCUCUUCCUUUUGUUUCUCUUUUCCCCUUUUUUUCCCUUCCCCUUUUCCUUCCCUUUUCUCUUCUUCCUCUUGUUUCUCUUUUCCCUUUUUUCCCUUCCCUUUUUCUUUCUCUUUUCUCUUCUUCCUUUUGUUUCGCUUUUCCCUUUUCUUUCCCUUCCCCUUUUCCUUCCCUCCUGGGUCUGUGGUGCUGCCCUUGCUGAGCUGUCCCGCUCCCAUCCUGAUCCUGGCUAA
RNAcentral lists this long non-coding RNA (1176 nucleotides) under Cyanistes caeruleus (blue tit). RNAcentral's name for it is "lncRNA (ENSCCEG00000018863.1)". The record is from RNAcentral. Lineage: Eukaryota; Metazoa; Chordata; Aves; Passeriformes; Paridae.